Molecule: unclassified non-coding RNA, 1124 nt
Filed under: Daphnia magna
Lineage: Eukaryota; Metazoa; Arthropoda; Branchiopoda; Diplostraca; Daphniidae
Description: 60S ribosome subunit biogenesis protein NIP7 homolog, transcript variant X1
Source: RNAcentral
CCAUUUAUUUAGCAUGCUGUUUAGCCUUUGCCUAAACAUCGUAGCUCUAUUCGUCGUCUGACUUGAGCAGUUGACGUGACGCACGUGGACUGACACUAUAUUCAACAUGAGACCAUUAACUGACGAAGAAACCAAAAUCUUUUUCGAAAAGCUCACGAAAUAUAUCGGCGAAAAUGUAAGGUUAUUGAUUGAUAGACCUGACGGGGCCUAUUGUUUUCGACUUCAUCGAGACAGAGUAUUUUAUAUCUCUGAGAAGCUUCUCAAGCAUGCGGUUUCAAUUGACCGUGAUAAUCUUGUAAGCAUCGGGACAUGCUUUGGCAAGUUUACAAAGACCAGGAAGUUCCGUCUCCAUAUCACUGCAUUAGAUUAUUUGGCACCAUAUGCUCAGUACAAAAUUUGGCUUAAACCAACAGCUGAGCAGCAAUUUGUUUAUGGAAACCAUAUCAUGAAAUCUGGACUUGGUAGGAUUUCUGAGAGCACUGCAAAAUAUCAGGGAGUUGUAGUAUAUAACAUGGCAGAUAUUCCUUUGGGCUUUGGAGUUGCGGCAAAGGCAACGUCAGAAUGCAGACAUGCUGAGCCAAUGGCUAUCGUAUGCUUUCAUCAAGCCGAUGUGGGAGAAUACAUCCGAGCUGAAGACACGCUUGUGGGUUAAACUCUGUACACUAACAGGGUUUAGGUAAUGGCGCCGCGGGACGUAGCUUGGACAUUUGCAUUUCCAACCACUGUUGGUGGGCUAUCCUCCCCCGGUGAACCUACUCCUCCUUGGGCCAAAGAAGUGAAAAUGUCGGAUUGGUUACCGCAGAAGCUUUCCGUGUCCGAAUGGAAGUCCGCUCGUACUCGAUCAAGUGCUGGUUGGGCGUAAGUUUUUUAAAGAUCAGCUGUUAUCAAACGUAUUUAAAAGGAGCAGAUUAGCAUUUGCAUAAUACCCCGCCUGAGAUCCAUCACAUCCAAUUCGGAAUUUCGAAUACGCUUGAGUUCUUGCUUGAAGCGUUUGGAAAGCUGCUUACGUCGGAAGUCCGCCUCAAUCUCUUGUUUAGUUCGUGGAAUACGUAUGCGUACGCAGCAGCACAAAAUGAUUACUGUAACAGUGCAAACAAAUAAGUCAUAAAUCGCCAAACUUUCUC